Molecule: ribosomal RNA, 253 nt
Filed under: uncultured bacterium
Lineage: Bacteria
Description: partial 16S ribosomal RNA
Rfam family: Bacterial small subunit ribosomal RNA
Source: RNAcentral
UACGUAGGGGGCAAGCGUUGUCCGGAAUUAUUGGGCGUAAAGAGCGUGUAGGCGGUGCUGUAAGUCAACCGUGAAAGCUCCCGGCUAAACUGGGAGAGGUCGGAUGAGACUGCAGCGCUAGUGGGUCGUAGAGGAAUGUGGAAUUCCGGGUGUAGUGGUGAAAUGCGUAGAGAUCCGGAGGAACACCAGAGGCGAAGGCGGCAUUCUGGACGACAUCAGACGCUGAGACGCGACAGCACGGGGAGCGAACGGG